Molecule: long non-coding RNA, 500 nt
Filed under: Homo sapiens (human)
Lineage: Eukaryota; Metazoa; Chordata; Mammalia; Primates; Hominidae
Description: HSALNT0059124
Source: RNAcentral
CCAGGAUGUUGAUAUUUAAGAAUAAAUACUUUAUCUUUUCAGAACAACAAUAAGAAGGCUGGUUUAGGCUUUAUCGCUGGAAAAUGGAGUUUGUGAAACAAAGAAGUAAUAGAUGCAUAGCAAGAGCUCAGUGUCCUUCCACAUUGUGUCACCGGUUGUACCCUGAGACAGAUUCUCCAAGUCUUAGAACAUGGAUAUGCAGUGAGAGUGAGGUUUACGUAGAAAAGUCUUUGUGUCUUGGGAGUGCCAUGUGUAUUGAAUGUCUAUGACUCAUGUCUCCCCUUGACUCACUUCUUGGCUGGGCUACAUGACUCAUCAGGCCUGGUAGGUUCAGGGCAGUGUAGCUGGUGGGGAAGGGCUAAGUGAAGAGGGGCUGUCUAGACCUGGGGAGCAUGGUUAUAAUGAGCUUUUUCAAACGUACAACUCAACUCUCUUGCACCUAGGAAGUAUCUUCAUCCAGAAGGAGUUCUCAGUCCUUUUUCUGCUUCACUGCUGAAGCC